This is a non-coding RNA of Podarcis lilfordi (Lilford's wall lizard), 115 nucleotides long. NCBI's taxonomy places the organism in Eukaryota, Metazoa, Chordata, Lepidosauria, Squamata, Lacertidae. The record is from the annotation of a GenBank genome assembly.
UGCGUCCCACUUCCUCUUUCACUUUUUUGUGCUUUUCAAGUCUCAGGUUAGCAGCUUGGGUGUUGAUCAGAGUUUUGAAAAGCACAUAGAGGUGAAGAGGAAGUGGCAAAGAGCA